UGUUUGAUGUUCUAACGUGGACCCGUGAUCCGGGUUGCGGACAGUGUCUGGUGGGUAGUUUGACUGGGGCGGUCUCCUCCUAAAGAGUAACGGAGGAGCACGAAGGUUGGCUAAUCCUGGUCGGACAUCAGGAGGUUAGUGCAAUGGCAUAAGCCAGCUUGACUGCGAGCGUGACGGCGCGAGCAGGUGCGAAAGCAGGUCAUAGUGAUCCGGUGGUUCUGAAUGGAAGGGCCAUCGCUCAACGGAUAAAAGGUACUCCGGGGAUAACAGGCUGAUACCGCCCAAGAGUUCAUAUCGACGGCGGUGUUUGGCACCUCGAUGUCGGCUCAUCACAUCCUGGGGCUGAAGUAGGUCCCAAGGGUAUGGCUGUUCGCCAUUUAAAGUGGUACGCGAGCUGGGUUUAGAACGUCGUGAGACAGUUCGGUCCCUAUCUGCCGUGGGCGCUGGAGAACUGAGGGGGGCUGCUCCUAGUACGAGAGGACCGGAGUGGACGCAUCACUGGUGUUCGGGUUGUCAUGCCAAUGGCACUGCCCGGUAGCUAAAUGCGGAAGAGAUAAGUGCUGAAAGCAUCUAAGCACGAAACUUGCCCCGAGA
RNAcentral lists this ribosomal RNA (594 nucleotides) under Salmonella enterica subsp. enterica serovar Heidelberg. Its description in RNAcentral is "partial 23S ribosomal RNA". It matches the Rfam family "Bacterial large subunit ribosomal RNA", at positions 2211 to 2804 of the family's 2925-position model. Lineage: Bacteria; Pseudomonadati; Pseudomonadota; Gammaproteobacteria; Enterobacterales; Enterobacteriaceae. RNAcentral also lists the same sequence under 9 other names. The record is from RNAcentral.